AAAUUGAAGAGUUUGAUCAUGGCUCAGAUUGAACGCUGGCGGCAAGCCUAACACAUGCAAGUCGAACGGCAGCACAAAAGAGCUUGCUCUUUGGGUGGCGAGUGG
Molecule: ribosomal RNA, 105 nt
Filed under: Pantoea sp. Aalb
Lineage: Bacteria; Pseudomonadati; Pseudomonadota; Gammaproteobacteria; Enterobacterales; Erwiniaceae
Description: Bacterial small subunit ribosomal RNA
Rfam family: Bacterial small subunit ribosomal RNA
Source: Rfam by way of RNAcentral